GGAUGCUGACUGCACCAGCCAGGUACACCAAGUGGUGAUUUUAAAAACUAAGUGCCGGUCCUGCCGGAGAACAACACCUGAAAGUAGGGCUGGGAGAUUUAAGGAAAAGAGAGAGAGAGAGAGAGACAGGGGGCUCAGGAGGACUACCCCAUCUCAAGCGAGUAGCAACUUCAUUUCUUCAGUUGCCUUGCCCCAUGGCGAUGUGGAGGGAGGAAUCUGGCAGUAGAUCAAUGGGACCAGACCUAGAACCCACUGCACGUGACAAACAGAUAAGGAACCUCUAGGAUCCAUGAAAGAACAUAUCUGAGCUAGCAUCCUAGAAGAUGAGACAUGUCCAGGAGAGUCAUGGCACAGAUGUCCCAGUUGAAGCCCCAUACAUAGGAGACAGUCUAGCCAAGAUCAGUAAAUCCACCUAGCAGACCGACAACUGACCACAGAUACAUGAGAGAGCCCUUCCAAGCCCAGCACAAAUCUGCAGAACCAUCCAGCUGACCAUUUGGCUUGCG
RNAcentral lists this long non-coding RNA (506 nucleotides) under Mustela putorius furo (domestic ferret). Its description in RNAcentral is "lncRNA (ENSMPUG00000028503.1)". Lineage: Eukaryota; Metazoa; Chordata; Mammalia; Carnivora; Mustelidae. The record is from RNAcentral.